This 2363-nucleotide ribosomal RNA is filed under the name anaerobic digester metagenome. RNAcentral describes it as "bacterial LSU rRNA". It matches the Rfam family "Bacterial large subunit ribosomal RNA", at positions 3 to 2114 of the family's 2925-position model. The record is from RNAcentral.
UCAAGAUAAAAAGGGCGUAUGGUGGAUGCCUUGGUGCCAGAAGGCGAAGAAGGACGCGGCAAGCGGCGAUACGCCACGGGGAGCUGCAAGCUAGCCUGGAUCCGUGGAUAUCCGAAUGGGGAAACCCGGUACCUGCGAACAGGUAUCAUCCCUACCUGAACACAUAGGGUAGGCGAGGCAAUACCCGGUGAACUGAAACAUCUUAGUAACCGGAGGAAAAGAAAUCAAAAGAGAUUUUCCUAGUAGCGGCGAGCGAACGGGAAAGAGCCCAAACCAUAUAGGUGUAAGCCUGCAAGCGUUGCCUAUGUGGGGUUGCGGGGCUGGCAGGAUAGUGUUGCAGCACUAUCAAAGAGUUACAAAACCAAUGUUUAGGCGAACCUGUCUGGAAAGUCAGGCCACAGAGAGUGAAAGCCUCGUAGCUUAAAGACACUGGUCUCUUAGCCAUGACCCCAAGUACCGCCGGACACGUGGAACCCGGUGGGAAUCAGGGAGGACCACCUUCCAAGGCUAAAUACUAACUGGCGACCGAUAGAGAAUAGUACCGUGAGGGAAAGGUGAAAAGCACCCCGGGAGGGGAGUGAAAAAGAACCUGAAACCGUAUGCCUACAAACAGUCAGAGCACUAUUUAAACCUUCGGGAUUAAAGUGUGAUGGCGUACCUUUUGUAGAAUGGGCCAGCGAGUUACGGUAUCAUGCGAGGUUAAAUCUAAUAAAGGAUGGAGCCGCAGCGAAAGCGAGUCUUAAUAGGGCGAUAGUAUGGUGCUGUAGACCCGAAACCGGGUGAUCUAUCCAUGGCCAGGGUGAAGUCUCGGUAACACGAGAUGGAGGCCCGAACCAGAGUACGUUAAAAAGUGCGUGGAUGAGCUGUGGAUAGGGGUGAAAAGCCAAUCGAACCCGGAGAUAGCUGGUUCUCCCCGAAAUAGCUUUAGGGCUAGCGUUAUAGAAUGCCUUAUGGGGGUAGAGCACUGGUUAGGCUAGGGGCCUUACUCGGUUACCGAACCUUCCCAAACUCCGAAUACCAUAAAGGUUAACUAUAGCAGUCAGUCUAUGGGUGAAAAGGUCCGUAGACAAAAGGGAAACAGCCCAGACCAACAGCUAAGGUCCCAAAAUCUAUGCUAAGUGGGAAAGGAUGUAGGGCUGCACAGACAGCCAGGAUGUUGGCUUAGAAGCAGCCACCAUUCAAAGAGUGCGUAAUAGCUCACUGGUCAAGUGGCCCUGCGCCGAAAAUUUAACGGGGCUAAGCAUAGUACCGAAGCUUUGGACUCGACAGCUCCAUGAGAUGUUAGAAGUCAGAAUGCCGAAAGGAUGCGGCGAAGCCGCGUAUGGUAGUUAUGAUGCAUAAGCAAGAUAGUGCGGAGCAGCAAAGAAAUUAGCUGAGCUAGAUUUAGCGAAGCCGCUAAAUCUCCCAAGCUAAGCAUAUUGGAUUUCUAGCAUGUCAUGGAGUAGUCGAGUGGUAGGGGAGCAUUCCUAUCGGGUAGAAGCCGUACCGUGAGGAGCGGUGGACUGGUAGGAAGAGAGAAUGCUGGCAUAAGUAAGCGAAAAGGCAGGUGAGAAUCCUGCCCGCCGUAAACCUAAGGUUUCCUGGGGAAGGCUCGUCCGCCCAGGGUAAGCCGGGACCUAACCCGAGGCCGCAAGGCGUAGGGGAUGGACAACUGGUUGAGAUUCCAGUGCCACCUGAAUUCCGUUUGAGUGAAGGGGUGACGCAGGAGGAUAAGUGAAGCGCACGGCAAGGAAGAGUGCGUCCAAGCACGUAGGGUGUCAGGUAGGCAAAUCCGCCUGACGAAAAGCCUGAGGUGUUAAGGGGAGGGAAACGUAGUACCGAAGUCACCGAUUCCAAACUGCCAAGAAAAGCCUCUAGCAAGGAACCAGGUGCCCGUACCGCAAACCGACACAGGUAGGUGAGGAGAGAAUCCUAAGGCGCGCGAGAGAACCCUCGUUAAGGAACUCGGCAAAAUGACCCCGUAACUUAGGGAGAAGGGGUGCUCUAUUAGCGUGAGUCAUUUUAACAAAGAUGAGCGUGAGAGAGCCGCAGUGAUCAGGCCCAGGCGACUGUUUAUCAAAAACAUAGGUCUCUGCUAAAUCGAAAGAUGACGUAUAGAGGCUGACGCCUGCCCGGUGCCGGAAGGUUAAGGGGAAGUGUUAGCGCAAGCAAAGCACUGAACCGAAGCCCCGGUGAACGGCGGCCGUAACUAUAACGGUCCUAAGGUAGCGAAAUUCCUUGUCUGGUAAGUUCAGACCCGCACGAAAGGCGUAACGAUCUGGGCGCUGUCUCGACGAGGGGCUCGGUGAAAUUGUAAUACCGGUGAAGAUGCCGGUUACCUGCGAUAGGACAGAAAGACCCCGUGGAGCUUUACUGUAGCUUGA